GACGAACGCUGGCGGCGUGCUUAACACAUGCAAGUCGAACGGAAAGGCCCUGCUUUUGUGGGGUGCUCGAGUGGCGAACGGGUGAGUAACACGUGAGUAACCUGCCCUUGACUUUGGAAUAACUUCAGGAAACUGGGGCUAAUACCGGAUAGGAGCUCCUGCUGCAUGGUGGGGGUUGGAAAGUUUCGGCGGUUGGGGAUGGACUCGCGGCUUAUCAGCUUGUUGGUGGGGUAGUGGCUUACCAAGGCUUUGACGGGUAGCCGGCCUGAGAGGGUGACCGGCCACAUUGGGACUGAGAUACGGCCCAGACUCCUACGGGAGGCAGCAGUGGGGAAUAUUGCACAAUGGGCGGAAGCCUGAUGCAGCAACGCCGCGUGCGGGAUGACGGCCUUCGGGUUGUAAACCGCUUCCGCCUGUGACGAAGCGUGAGUGACGGUAAUGGGUAAAGAAGCACCGGCUAACUACGUGCCAGCAGCCGCGGUGAUACGUAGGGUGCGAGCGUUGUCCGGAUUUAUUGGGCGUAAAGGGCUCGUAGGUGGUUGAUCGCGUCGGAAGUGUAAUCUUGGGGCUUAACCCUGAGCGUGCUUUCGAUACGGGUUGACUUGAGGAAGGUAGGGGAGAAUGGAAUUCCUGGUGGAGCGGUGGAAUGCGCAGAUAUCAGGAGGAACACCAGUGGCGAAGGCGGUUCUCUGGGCCUUUCCUGACGCUGAGGAGCGAAAGCGUGGGGAGCGAACAGGCUUAGAUACCCUGGUAGUCCACGCUGUAAACGGUGGGUACUAGGUGUGGGGUCCAUUCCACGGGUUCCGUGCCGUAGCUAACGCUUUAAGUACCCCGCCUGGGGAGUACGGCCGCAAGGCUAAAACUCAAAGGAAUUGACGGGGCCCCGCACAAGCGGCGGAGCAUGCGGAUUAAUUCGAUGCAACGCGUAGAACCUUACCUGGGUUUGACAUGGAUCGGGAGUGCUCAGAGAUGGGUGUGCCUCUUUUGGGGUCGGUUCACAGGUGGUGCAUGGCUGUCGUCAGCUCGUGUCGUGAGAUGUUGGGUUAAGUCCCGCAACGAGCGCAACCCUUGUUCACUGUUGCCAGCACGUUAUGGUGGGGACUCAGUGGAGACCGCCGGGGUCAACUCGGAGGAAGGUGGGGAUGACGUCAAGUCAUCAUGCCCCUUAUGUCCAGGGCUUCACGCAUGCUACAAUGGCUGGUACAGAGAGUGGCGAGCCUGUGAGGGUGAGCGAAUCUCGGAAAGCCGGUCUCAGUUCGGAUUGGGGUCUGCAACUCGACCUCAUGAAGUCGGAGUCGCUAGCAAUCGCAGAUCAGCAACGCUGCGGUGAAUACGUUCCCGGGGCU
RNAcentral lists this ribosomal RNA (1346 nucleotides) under uncultured bacterium. RNAcentral describes it as "partial 16S ribosomal RNA". It matches the Rfam family "Bacterial small subunit ribosomal RNA", at positions 28 to 1381 of the family's 1533-position model. The record is from RNAcentral.